UACAGAGGGUGCAAGCGUUAAUCGGAAUUACUGGGCGUAAAGAGCUCGUAGGUGGUUUGUCGCGUUGUUCGUGAAAACUCACAGCUCAACUGUGGGCGUGCGGGCGAUACGGGCAGACUUGAGUACUGCAGGGGAGACUGGAAUUCCUGGUGUAGCGGUGGAAUGCGCAGAUAUCAGGAGGAACACCGGUGGCGAAGGCGGGUCUCUGGGCAGUAACUGACGCUGAGGAGCGAAAGCGUGGGGAGCGAACAGG
Molecule: ribosomal RNA, 253 nt
Filed under: uncultured bacterium
Lineage: Bacteria
Description: partial 16S ribosomal RNA
Rfam family: Bacterial small subunit ribosomal RNA
Source: RNAcentral